This is a long non-coding RNA of Gallus gallus (chicken), 4958 nucleotides long. RefSeq lists it as uncharacterized. Lineage: Eukaryota; Metazoa; Chordata; Aves; Galliformes; Phasianidae. The record is from RefSeq and is a predicted model, not a curated record. The transcript is spliced from 2 exons.
GAACAAAGGAGACUGGGAAGAGAAAUGGAAUUUAAUUAGAUCUGACACAGCAACUACGGAUAAACAGCACUUUUCUGCCCUGACCAGCAACUCAUUUUCUCUCAUGUAAGCUUCAAGAAAUUUCAAAGUAUGGAAAACAUUUUUACUCUGGCUUUUUUUUGUGAGUAAAUGUUUAAGACAGUACUGCUAUCAGAUAAAGUCACUCUUACCUCUUUGUCAGAUCUCUUUAAGUGGUUACACCUAUCUAAAAACUGAUAUCCUGCCAUGACCCAUUCCUUCUGUAUCAAGCUUUGAAAUCCAACAAUCGUUCGAAAAUAGGGAUCCAGCAUGACUUGAACUAGAGAAGCAGCAAGACAGCUCAGGUCCCGUCCCUCUUCCUCUGUGAAUCACACACAGAACGUAUGAAAUAUAAAAGCUCAUGAACCAUUCUUUUGUUAAUGAUACAAACCUGAUAUACUCUAACCAGCGAGUAUUUUCCAGUGAGGACAGCCACUUCUCUUCUGUUUCUUCGAAGGGCUCUGCAACAAGGAAAGCAGUAACGCUGCAGAACAACUAAUAACUACACCCGCCAGCCAGAUCUAUUAGAAUCAUUGUAGUUCAAGGAAAUCACCACCACAAAAGGAGGACAGUUCAGCUUACCAUUAACACACAGCUGCUUGAGUUUGAUGUGCGCAGCCUGGAUUUCCUGGAUGUUGGGGAGACACUUGUCCAGAUCAGAUUUGUAAACGUCACUUCUCAGGGGAUGGCUUCGAGUUAUUGCAUUACAAAUCCUGAUAUAUUAAAGUAAAAAUAAAAAAUCCAUUGUAUUACUGGAGAGAGGGAGAGAGUACUUACGAAACAUGCCAAACUGCAAAACACUAGGACUGCGUAAAACAUGCUUUGUUACAAAAGAAAGAACAAGUUCAAGUGUAUCUUUUGCUCCUGCCACAAAGCUGCUGGCUCAAAUAUUUUUGAUACCUGGUCUACAAAGCAAAGAUGGAAAGAUCAGACCUUUGAAACACUUUGGGUAAGUGAAAAUCUGAGGCAGACUUGCAGGCUAAACAGCUCUACGCAAUGUUUCAUUUUCCACCAUUUUUAGUAAGAUUUGUCUGUGCCAAAGAAACAGAACGUGCAUCAAGUAUAUAAAGCCAGGAGAUCUGACAGGGUUUCAAAUGGAACUCAGAGCUCCAGCAUAACACACACAGUGCAACAUCUAAAAGAAGUGUCUGUGUGUACUGUGGCAGUAAAUCUAUAAACCAGUAAAUACCAUAAACAAUUCACUUUUACUGUCCUUUGAAGCAGGUAAGAAAUUCUACAUAAACUAAGUUUUACUGCAGUAUUUGAUCUAAUCCUUCUAACAGUGAAUUCUGUUGCCUGGAAGACUGGCAAUUAAAAAAUACACAGCCCUUAAAACUUGAUCAAUUAUUCAGUCCUCCAGCUGAACUGGACCUUGAACAGAACAUGUGCCUGAACUAUACUCAGCGGACAGCUUCUCAAAAGCUUUUGCACUGUAACAUUAAGAAAAAGUAUGUUCUGCAUUACAGAAUGCUGCUCUACAUUACACACCAUUGCCACAUGCUUUGUGCUGUAUCUGCUUAAAGAAUAAUAUCAACUAAUUGUUCACCUUUGAUCGAUUCUUCUUUGUUGCAGCACAUCCUUAAUGUUGGCCAUUCUUACAAGGGCACUCCCGUUGGGAUGAUUCCAGGACCAUAACUAACAUACGAAUAACACAAAACAAGAAAAAAGCAUAUCUGUCUGAUCCUGUGGAUUUUUUUCUUAAUGCUCUAUAUAAGACUAUGUUAAUUGGCAUACACAUCUUAUAUUCAAUAUUGUACAAAUAAAGAACAAAGACUUUACUUACUGGCAUUCGUCUCCCAAUAAAAGAGUGGGAGUAGAGCUUAAGGUCUUGAUCUGCUAAGGAAGAAGGGACCACAAAAUAUUCUGGAAGGCUUGGGAGACAAACACAAUACAAAAAAUUACUUUUCCCUAAGUAUUUUAUCAGCUUUUCUCUUGUUGCAAUGUUGUCUUACCAGCUCCGUUUAACUCUAACGUGCCAAAUGUUAGUAUCACAGGGAUAACUAGUUGUCAUGUGCACCGCCUACAUGUAUGGUUCAGAUGUUUUUGCUUACAAACAUGCAGAUUUCAGAGGGAAGUAUAAGAGCAUGAAAGAAAUAGAUGCCAGAUCCAUUACGUUCCGGAAAUACAGCAUUCCUACAAAGACAGCACCUGCAGGAUGUUCCAGCUGAGGGCUCCCUCCAGUGAGCACACUGAAGAGUUAAAUUAGAGUUAGGUGGAGUUACGAAUUUGUUAGAGGAGAAAAGGCAGUGUAGUUGCCUUGCUUGCUUCUACGCUUACUUGCAUUACAAGAAAAACUUACCAAGUAGAUAUCAUAUAACCUUCAUUGACUGAACAAACUCUCCACUCCGAUGCACCCGUCCUUUUGAUUUCUCUAUCCCAAUCAGAGUAAGUUUCAAACAAAGGUGUCUGCUGACCACUGGUACUACUGAUGCCGCCACUGCCUCCGCCUCCUGGGUCUACUCCAUUCACCUUCUUUGCUAAGAAAAGAAAAUUCAUCAAUGCACAUUAAAAAAACCCAAAAUAUUUAUCCUCCUAAUUACAAGAGUAAGUCACUAAUAUCAGGACCAGCUUUACCUAUUUUUGCCUGAACACAGAUCUGUGGCUCAAUGACAGCUAAGAUGCAAAUGCAUUUUUUUCCUGCGAUGUCAACAGAGAAGCAACAUAAAGCUGGUGUGUUGUAUAAAGCUGGUCUGUUGUGCUGCUUGCUAGAAAGCAGGACAUGCUAAUGGUCAAGAGCGGAGCUUAUCUUCAGUGACAAGAUUUCUCUCUUCAACAUGCCAAAGUCACAGAUGUUUUAGAAAUAUCUAACCUUUACACGCUACCCUUUAAUUAACUGUCUUCUGCAUGAAGUAAAAUACUUGGUACAUCAUUUCAACAGCAUUUCCUUAUGAAUUACCAUCUGCAUUAAUCAAAAAGAUAAAUAAAGUGAAGGCUAGGCUAAAAACUGUUUGAAAUUGUUUAUUUUCUAAAAUAUCUGUUAUAUAUGUACAUACACAUACAUAUAUGCACAUCUGGCCCAUCACUUUGCGGGUAGGGACCAACGUGAUAUGCCCUGUUACUAUUAUAAGAAAUCCUCUUUGCUGGUCAUUCUUUAGGUGCCAAGGAGGCAGUCAACUGUGUCAAAAGAGACUGCAUUCUGUUCCUCGGUACUUGGGAAAGUUAUUAAACGAAGGUGAAAGAAGCUGAGACUUUUCCACCGGGAAAGCUCCUAGUAAGCACCGUAAAGAUGGAAGGAAUGAUGUGAAUUCUGCCCAAGCGAAUCAGAAGUCACUCUACCGUGAUUUCAGUGACUGUAUUUUCUACCUUCUGUUAUCUAUCAACUUGAGCACUCAGACUACUGUUUCUUAUUUCAUUCUUUCAGAAGAAAAUGCAGAACUCAGAAUGAAGGAGUUGUCCAAACAUAGUACACAGAAGAAUGUUACAACUACUAGGUGGUUCACGUUAGACUGUUUAACAACAGUUAAUUAUCAAACACAUUCUGGGAUAAAAUGAUGCUCAGGUACACCAGAGCAAUGCAGGCCUCUUUGUGUUCCCCUAGCAGCACAAUGACAGUACUUCAAAUCCCACUGUAGCAGGAUUGUCGAGAGCGGACAGUUACGGAACACAGGGCUGGAAUGGUAGGAGCAAAGCCAGAGAUCCAUGCCACAAACAAACCAGGGGUCACUUUACUACGUGGAGAUCUUUCAGUUAAAAACAGUAAUAACCACCACCAAGUAUUUCAAGCUUUUUCCUCUAGCAACUACAACAUAACAGAACAAUCAGUUUCUGCCAUUCUGACCUGCUGCUUCAUAUAGUAAUGUAUUCUACCCACCUCUUGUAAUUGUUCCCCUAUGUUUUUUCCCCAUAUAGCAAACUGUAUUUUAAGAACAGAGUUAAGGCAACUUUGUGACAGAUCAAUAUUUUGUUCAUGCUCUGCUUUAACACUUCAUUGUCCUCUUAUCUGCAAAAUGACUUCCUCCCUAGUACUUUAUUACACUAACCCACACAGACCUUAAUAACCACCCAAGAUUUACCAGGUAAGAAAAAUGAGUAAUUACGCGUGCAAUAUAAUCACAUGCACAUUCAUUCCUGUGCAUGCACACGGCGGUCAUGUAGGCACCUGCAUGGAAAAUGUCCAUUUUUGUACAAAUUUGAAUGUCUGAGCCUACAAUUCCACGACAUUCAAAUUUUGUAACAGGCAGAUCAGUGGUUUCUAAUCUCAGCUGCUGAGUAAAUAUUUCAGUACCACAGAACUACGCUGGUGGUACUUCUGCUAUUUGGAGGCUUGUAGUGCUAGAACUGAUGGUUUUCAGCUGUGUAUUGGCUGGGGAACACUAAGCAGUGACCGCACAGCAUUACACUAGAAAUCAAGUUCCAAAGGCAUCUUUUUCAGGCUUACCUAACUGACAGGGUUCAGUUGGAGAUUGGCCUUGAGCAGAGAGGGUGUGCUCCAACUCAGCACGGGUGGUGGAGGUUUUGAGUGGGAAGAACUGCCUAGUAAGCCUCUAGGAAAGAAGGUAUGGAGUCCCAAGCUGCACAAAUCCUCCUGCAAUACCACCAGAAGAGAAACUUAUUCCCAAAAGAAGGGCAGGUGAAUGAGCCUGCCUGAUGGGAGAUUAGCUAGGCACCUAGAGUACCAGUAAAGACCAAUACGCUGAUAGGAGGAUCAACGUGUGAAUUGAGAAAUAUGGGUAUUCAUGCUGACAUCGGUAGCUUGUUUCACACAAGAAAGAUAUUUCUUUUGAUUUUGGUACUUAAAAUCUAUCACGAUGACUGACUUGCAUCUGAUAGUAAGAGGUUGGCUGCAGGACAGGCUAUUUUAAUUACCCCUACAGGAAGCCUCAAAUGUUUUUUGCUGUUGUUUCUGGAUAAAAGUCUUACUAAACUUACACAUUGUGGAAUAAUAAAAACAUUUUCAUACA